Molecule: ribosomal RNA, 1372 nt
Filed under: uncultured bacterium
Lineage: Bacteria
Description: bacterial SSU rRNA
Rfam family: Bacterial small subunit ribosomal RNA
Source: RNAcentral
GAUGAACGCUGGCGGCGUGCCUAAUACAUGCAAGUCGAGCGAACGGACGAGAAGCUUGCUUUUCUGAUGUUAGCGGCGGACGGGUGAGUAACACGUGGAUAACCUACCUAUAAGACUGGGAUAACUUCGGGAAACCGGAGCCAAUACCGGAUAAUAUUUUGAACCGCAUGGUUCAAAAGUGAAAGACGGUCUUGCUGUCACUUAUAGAUGGAUCCGCGCUGCAUUAGCUAGUUGGUAAGGUAACGGCUUACCAAGGCAACGAUGCAUAGCCGACCUGAGAGGGUGAUCGGCCACACUGGAACUGAGACACGGUCCAGACUCCUACGGGAGGCAGCAGUAGGGAAUCUUCCGCAAUGGGCGAAAGCCUGACGGAGCAACGCCGCGUGAGUGAUGAAGGUCUUCGGAUCGUAAAACUCUGUUAUUAGGGAAGAACAUAUGUGUAAGUAACUGUGCACAUCUUGACGGUACCUAAUCAGAAAGCCACGGCUAACUACGUGCCAGCAGCCGCGGUAAUACGUAGGUGGCAAGCGUUAUCCGGAAUUAUUGGGCGUAAAGCGCGCGUAGGCGGUUUUUUAAGUCUGAUGUGAAAGCCCACGGCUCAACCGUGGAGGGUCAUUGGAAACUGGAAAACUUGAGUGCAGAAGAGGAAAGUGGAAUUCCAUGUGUAGCGGUGAAAUGCGCAGAGAUAUGGAGGAACACCAGUGGCGAAGGCGACUUUCUGGUCUGUAACUGACGCUGAUGUGCGAAAGCGUGGGGAUCAAACAGGAUUAGAUACCCUGGUAGUCCACGCCGUAAACGAUGAGUGCUAAGUGUUAGGGGGUUUCCGCCCCUUAGUGCUGCAGCUAACGCAUUAAGCACUCCGCCUGGGGAGUACGACCGCAAGGUUGAAACUCAAAGGAAUUGACGGGGACCCGCACAAGCGGUGGAGCAUGUGGUUUAAUUCGAAGCAACGCGAAGAACCUUACCAAAUCUUGACAUCCUUUGACAACUCUAGAGAUAGAGCCUUCCCCUUCGGGGGACAAAGUGACAGGUGGUGCAUGGUUGUCGUCAGCUCGUGUCGUGAGACGUUGGGUUAAGUCCCGCAACGAGCGCAACCCUUAAGCUUAGUUGCCAUCAUUAAGUUGGGCACUCUAAGUUGACUGCCGGUGACAAACCGGAGGAAGGUGGGGAUGACGUCAAAUCAUCAUGCCCCUUAUGAUUUGGGCUACACACGUGCUACAAUGGACAAUACAAAGGGCAGCGAAACCGCGAGGUCAAGCAAAUCCCAUAAAGUUGUUCUCAGUUCGGAUUGUAGUCUGCAACUCGACUACAUGAAGCUGGAAUCGCUAGUAAUCGUAGAUCAGCAUGCUACGGUGAAUACGUUCCCGGGUCU